AUUGAACGCUGGCGGCAGGCCUAACACAUGCAAGUCGAGCGGAUGAANGGAGCUUGCUCCUGGAUUCAGCGGCGGACGGGUGAGUAAUGCCUAGGAAUCUGCCUGGUAGUGGGGGACAACGUUUCGAAAGGAACGCUAAUACCGCAUACGUCCUACGGGAGAAAGCAGGGGACCUUCGGGCCUUGCGCUAUCAGAUGAGCCUAGGUCGGAUUAGCUAGUUGGUGAGGUAAUGGCUCACCAAGGCGACGAUCCGUAACUGGUCUGAGAGGAUGAUCAGUCACACUGGAACUGAGACACGGUCCAGACUCCUACGGGAGGCAGCAGUGGGGAAUAUUGGACAAUGGGCGAAAGCCUGAUCCAGCCAUGCCGCGUGUGUGAAGAAGGUCUUCGGAUUGUAAAGCACUUUAAGUUGGGAGGAAGG
RNAcentral lists this ribosomal RNA (421 nucleotides) under Pseudomonas sp. RNAcentral's name for it is "bacterial SSU rRNA". It matches the Rfam family "Bacterial small subunit ribosomal RNA", at positions 30 to 451 of the family's 1533-position model. The record is from RNAcentral. Lineage: Bacteria; Pseudomonadati; Pseudomonadota; Gammaproteobacteria; Pseudomonadales; Pseudomonadaceae.